GAUGAACGCUGGCGGCGUGCCUAAUACAUGCAAGUCGAGCGAACGGACGAGAAGCUUGCUUCUCUGAUGUUAGCGGCGGACGGGUGAGUAACACGUGGAUAACCUACCUAUAAGACUGGGAUAACUUCGGGAAACCGUAGCUAAUACCGGAUAAUAUUUUGAACCGCAUGGUUCAAAAGUGAAAGACGGUCUUGCUGCCACUUAUAGAUGGAUCCGCGCUGCAUUAGCUAGUUGGUAAGGUAACGGCUUACCAAGGCAACGAUGCAUAGCCGACCUGAGAGGGUGAUCGGCCACACUGGAACUGAGACACGGUCCAGACUCCUACGGGAGGCAGCAGUAGGGAAUCUUCCGCAAUGGGCGAAAGCCUGACGGAGCAACGCCGCGUGAGUGAUGAAGGUCCUCGGAUCGUAAAACUCUGUUAUUAGGGAAGAACAUAUGUGUAAGUAACUGUGCACAUCUUGACGGUACCUAAUCAGAAAGCCACGGCUAACUACGUG
RNAcentral lists this ribosomal RNA (497 nucleotides) under uncultured bacterium. RNAcentral describes it as "partial 16S ribosomal RNA". It matches the Rfam family "Bacterial small subunit ribosomal RNA", at positions 28 to 507 of the family's 1533-position model. The record is from RNAcentral.